CGGCAGUACACAGCUUAGACUCAAAUCAUCCAAGCAAAUGUGAGAAGAUAGGCCUGCGGUUCUGUAACAAGUGAUUCUCGGUGGUCAAAGAUAACGCUGACUUAAGUUCACGGGUUUACGAAGUGAGAUGGUGAUAGUGAAGAUAACGACAGCUGCCGUCCUGCUGCUGUUAUAACUGAGUUAUAAUUUGCCGGAGUCUACUGCAGAUAUAGAUGUCUUCCAGAGACAUUAUGCUUCCCCUUCCCCCAAUCUUUCACAGAGUGGAAUACUGUGUGUGGUCAGAAUACAGAUGUUCUCAGAAAGGAACAAACCUCUGAAAUGGUUCAAUAACUUAGAAGGUGAGAUUUUCAAAAUGAGAAGAAAAUCAAUAACAGAAAUAAAUGUUAACAUCCAAAAUAACUGUUUGUUGCCAGAUGUAUUUUAUUUUGGGAUAAUUUUGUGAAAAUGUUAUUGUCGGUAAACAGAUAAAGAAA
This is a long non-coding RNA of Mobula hypostoma (lesser devil ray), 473 nucleotides long. RefSeq lists it as uncharacterized. The transcript has 3 exons. NCBI's taxonomy places the organism in Eukaryota, Metazoa, Chordata, Chondrichthyes, Myliobatiformes, Myliobatidae. The record is from RefSeq and is a predicted model, not a curated record.